UACGAAGGGGGCUAGCGUUAAUCGGAAUUACUGGGCGUAAAGUGUGCGCAGGCGGCAGGGCAAGUCGAGUGUGAAAGCCCCGGGCUUAACUUGGGAAUUGCGCUCGAAACUACUUUGCUGGAGUGUGGCAGAGGAAGGUGGAAUUCCACGUGUAGCGGUGAAAUGCGUAGAGAUGUGGAGGAACACCAAUGGCGAAGGCAGCCUUCUGGGCCAACACUGACGCUCAUGCACGAAAGCGUGGGGAGCAAACAGG
RNAcentral lists this ribosomal RNA (253 nucleotides) under uncultured bacterium. RNAcentral describes it as "partial 16S ribosomal RNA". It matches the Rfam family "Bacterial small subunit ribosomal RNA", at positions 524 to 776 of the family's 1533-position model. The record is from RNAcentral.